RNAcentral lists this ribosomal RNA (536 nucleotides) under uncultured bacterium. Its description in RNAcentral is "partial 16S ribosomal RNA". It matches the Rfam family "Bacterial small subunit ribosomal RNA", at positions 355 to 879 of the family's 1533-position model. The record is from RNAcentral.
UGGGGAAUUUUGGACAAUGGGCGCAAGCCUGAUCCAGCCAUGCCGCGUGCGGGAAGAAGGCCUUCGGGUUGUAAACCGCUUUUGUCAGGGAAGAAAUCUUCUGAGUUAAUACCUCGGGAGGAUGACGGUACCUGAAGAAUAAGCACCGGCUAACUACGUGCCAGCAGCCGCGGUAAAUACGUAGGGUGCAAGCGUUAAUCGGAAUACUGGGCGUAAAGCGUGCGCAGGCGGUUUUGUAAGACAGAGGUGAAAUCCCCGGGCUCAACCUGGGAACUGCCUUUGUGACUGCAAGGCUUGAGUGCGGCAGAGGGGGGAUGGAAUUCCGCGUGUAGCAGUGAAAUGCGUAGAUAUGCGGAGGAACACCGAUGGCGAAGGCAAUCCCCUGGGCCUGCACUGACGCUCAUGCACGAAAGCGUGGGGAGCAAAACAGGAUUAGAUACCCCUGGUAGUCCACGCCCUAAAACCGAUGUCAACUGGUUGUUGGGAAGGUUCCUUCUCAGUAACGUAGCUAACGCGUGAAGUUGACCGUCUGGGGA